Long non-coding RNA from Bos taurus (domestic cattle), 1183 nucleotides. NCBI's taxonomy places the organism in Eukaryota, Metazoa, Chordata, Mammalia, Artiodactyla, Bovidae. The record is from Ensembl.
CCUCACCGCUUAGGAAGGGGGUGGGGCAGCUCUCCAGGGUGCUGACUCAGGGCGGCAGCGCGGCGCCCUCACGCGAGGUUGCAGCGGCCGGAGCUCAGCCCUUCUGUCCUGCUUUAGCGGGUAGAAGCCCUCCCUGGAAGGAGGACCGGCCCCUGGUUCUUUCCAAAGCUGUCAGCACAGAAUAAUUCACCUUUCACCGCUUCGUGCUGUAAACAGCUCCCCAUCAGACCGGGAAAGUUGCUGAGGUCUGGACAGUCUGGCCACUUCCAGGGACAACUGUUCUGCCAGUUCCCAGAAGGCAGCAGAAGCGAUUUAGCUAUAUUUGGAUUAAAAGGAUGGUUCAGCCUUGGAAGAUGCCGGGGCAGGAAGAACAGUGCCUCCAUUCAGCUGUGGAGACGGCAGCCUGGCUGGUCAGCUUUCUUUCUCUUUCCCAAGGCACCAGCAGUUCCCACAAGCUGAUUCAUCUCCAGGGAGGAGAGGGAAGAGGCCGCUCGCUGUAACCAGGUGCGACCCCAGGCCGCUCGCCGUGACCAGGUGUGACUCGUGCAGCCUCUGCUGUCGUCCCCUGGGCUGGCCAGGCUUCCCGGAGCAGCCGCUGCCCUGCCAGCCACUCGAGGCCUGUGAGACCCGUCCUGGGCGCAGCGCUGGCCGCCAGGAAAACGCCGGCGAGAGCCAGCUCCCGGGCUCCCUGUGCUUAGAGACAUUGCUCCAAACUGGGCUCUGCUGCCUUUGAUCUGCUGCUGACCCUCGUGGCCCUGCUGUGCCCCGCACACCUUCAGUCCCGGCUGAGGGCACCAAGCUUCCUCUCUCUCCUGUGGAAACAGAACCUGGGAACAUGCCCAGCCUGAUGUGUACGGUACAUGAUGAUAGGUGACCCCCCACUGCAGGCCAAUGCUGCUGACGGCGCUCUUGGGAACCCGUCUGUCUCCCUGGCCUCCUCCCUGAACCUGCGAGCACACUGCACACCCAGGGCCGCGCUGUGUACUUGCCCAGCACAGCCUCAUGCCCAUCCAGGAGAGCCUGAAGCCGGUGCCAAUCUCCACGGCAGGGGAGUCACCAGCAGCCCGUCCUGCCUGGCAGAGGGUGAGGCCACCUCUCUGGUGCCAAAGUGGGAGUGAAGAGUGACUCACAGCUGUUCUCAGGUGUCCAGUUUGUGGCCAGUUCUGUGCACUGAAUAAAGGAG